AGGGCUACAGCUCAGCGAUAGAGCACCUUGUUUAAUGACCGAGAAUACCUACGGUUCGAACCCGU
RNAcentral lists this transfer RNA (65 nucleotides) under Pyrrosia petiolosa. RNAcentral describes it as "tRNA-Val". Lineage: Eukaryota; Viridiplantae; Streptophyta; Polypodiopsida; Polypodiales; Polypodiaceae. The record is from RNAcentral.